RNAcentral lists this unclassified non-coding RNA (347 nucleotides) under soil metagenome. RNAcentral describes it as "partial contains 5.8S ribosomal RNA, internal transcribed spacer 2, and large subunit ribosomal RNA". The stretch from base 1 to 120 matches the Rfam family "5.8S ribosomal RNA", at positions 35 to 154 of the family's 154-position model. The record is from RNAcentral.
GAUGAAGAACGCAGUGAAAUGCGAUAAUUAAUGUGAAUUGCAGAAUUCAGUGAAUCAUCGAGUCUUUGAACGCACAUUGCGCCCCCUGGUAUUCCGGGGGGCAUGCCUGUCCGAGCGUCAUUGCUGCCCUCAAGCACGGCUUGUGUGUUGGGCUUCCGUCCCUGGCAACGGGGACGGGCCCAAAAGGCAGUGGCGGCACCAUGUCUGGUCCUCGAGCGUAUGGGGCUUUGUCACCCGCUCCCGUAGGUCCAGCUGGCAGCUAGCCUCGCAACCAAUCUUUUUAACCAGGUUGACCUCGGAUCAGGAAGGGAUACCCGCUGAACUUAAGCAUAUCAAUAAGCGGAGGA